ACGACCUUACUUGAACAGGAUCUGUUCUAUAGGCUCGUACCGCUGCAUCCUUCACCAAUAAGGAGGCAAGCACUUCAGUCUGGUUGAUGCAUUCUCACCUCUGGGCCAGAGCGUGAUUAACGGCUAGGAUCACCUGAUGGGUGCCAUCUGACGGCUGUAGAGGAUCGUUCCUGCCUGGUGGCUCACACUAGUGCAGGGUGGCUCAGAGGUUGUCUGACAGACU
RNAcentral lists this small nucleolar RNA (223 nucleotides) under Triticum aestivum (bread wheat). RNAcentral describes it as "Plant small nucleolar RNA U3". It matches the Rfam family "Plant small nucleolar RNA U3". From Rfam's summary of the family: Small nucleolar RNAs (snoRNAs) are involved in the processing and modification of rRNA in the nucleolus. There are two main classes of snoRNAs: the box C/D class, and the box H/ACA class. Lineage: Eukaryota; Viridiplantae; Streptophyta; Magnoliopsida; Poales; Poaceae. The record is from Rfam by way of RNAcentral.